GAUGAACGCUGGCGGCGUGCCUAAUACAUGCAAGUCGAGCGAACAGAUGAGGAGCUUGCUCCUCUGACGUUAGCGGCGGACGGGUGAGUAACACGUGGAUAACCUACCUAUAAGACUGGGAUAACUUCGGGAAACCGGAGCUAAUACCGGAUAAUCUAUUGAACCGCAUGGUUCAAUAGUGAAAGACGGUUUUGCUGUCACUUAUAGAUGGAUCCGCGCCGCUUUAGCUAGUUGGUAAGGUAACGGCUUACCAAGGGAACGAUGCGUAGCCGAGCUGUGAGAGUGAUCGGCCACACUGGAACUGGGACACGGUCCAUACUCCUACGGGAGGCAGCAGUAGGGAAUCGUCCGCAAUGGGCGAAAGCCUGACGGAGCAACGCCGCGUGAGUGAUGAAGGUCUUCGGAUCGUAAAACUCUGUUAUUAGGGAAGAACAAAUGUGUAAGUAACUAUGCACGUCUUGACGGUACCUAAUCAGAAAGCCACGGCUAACUACGUG
This 497-nucleotide ribosomal RNA is filed under the name uncultured bacterium. Its description in RNAcentral is "partial 16S ribosomal RNA". It matches the Rfam family "Bacterial small subunit ribosomal RNA", at positions 28 to 507 of the family's 1533-position model. The record is from RNAcentral.